RNAcentral lists this ribosomal RNA (126 nucleotides) under Escherichia coli. RNAcentral's name for it is "partial 23S ribosomal RNA". The stretch from base 1 to 108 matches the Rfam family "Bacterial large subunit ribosomal RNA", at positions 2813 to 2925 of the family's 2925-position model. Lineage: Bacteria; Pseudomonadati; Pseudomonadota; Gammaproteobacteria; Enterobacterales; Enterobacteriaceae. The record is from RNAcentral.
UUAAGGGUCCUGAAGGAACGUUGAAGACGACGACGUUGAUAGGCCGGGUGUGUAAGCGCAGCGAUGCGUUGAGCUAACCGGUACUAAUGAACCGUGAGGCUUAACCUUACAACGCCGAAGGUGUUU